CAUUAUCGAGUUUUGAAAUAGGUUGUAGCUGGCCUCAUAAGGGGCAUGUGCACGCCUGGCUCAUCCACUCUUCAACCUCUGUGCACUUAUUGUAGGUCGGUGAAAGGUUGAUUUCAAAAAUCAGCUGGAAGCCUUCCUAUGUUUCUUACUAUAAACGCUCCAGUUAUAGAAUGUAUUUCUGCGUGUAACGCAUCUAUAUACAACUUUCAGCAACGGAUCUCUUGGCUCUCGCAUCGAUGAAGAACGCAGCGAAAUGCGAUAAGUAAUGUGAAUUGCAGAAUUCAGUGAAUCAUCGAAUCUUUGAACGCACCUUGCGCUCCCUGGUAUUCCGGGGAGCAUGCCUGUUUGAGCAUCAUGGAAUUCUCAAUCUUGAAUACUUUUGUAUUGAAGACUUGGACUUGGAGGUUUGUGCUGGCUCUUGCUUAGUCGGCUCCUCUGAAAUGCAUUAGCGUGAAUAUUAUGGAUCGCUUCGGUGUGAUAAUUAUCUGCGCCGUAGUCGUGAAGUAUAUUUAUGUUUGCGCUUCUAAUCGUCCUUCAUCGGACAAUUACUUUGACCUUUGAUCUCAAAUCAGGUAGGACUACCCGCUGAACUUAA
Molecule: ribosomal RNA, 595 nt
Filed under: uncultured Rhizochaete
Lineage: Eukaryota; Fungi; Basidiomycota; Agaricomycetes; Corticiales; Corticiaceae
Description: eukaryotic LSU rRNA
Rfam family: 5.8S ribosomal RNA (bases 202-355)
Source: RNAcentral